GACGAACGCUGACGGCGUGCUUAACACAUGCAAGUCGAACGGAAAGGCCCUGCUUUUGUGGGGUGCUCGAGUGGCGAACGGGUGAGUAACACGUGAGUAACCUGCCCUUGACUUUGGGAUAACUUCAGGAAACUGGGGCUAAUACCGGAUAGGAGCUCCUGCUGCAUGGUGGGGGUUGGAAAGUUUCGGCGGUUGGGGAUGGACUCGCGGCUUAUCAGCUUGUUGAUGGGGUAGUGGCUUACCAAGGCUUUGACGGGUAGCCGGCCUGAGAGGGUGACCGGCCACAUUGGGACUGAGAUACGGCCCAGACUCCUACGGGAGGCAGCAGUGGGGAAUAUUGCACAAUGGGCAGAAGCCUGAUGCAGCAACGCCGCGUGCGGGAUGACGGCCUUCGGGUUGUAAACCGCUUUCGCCUGUGACGAAGCGUGAGUGACGGUAAUGGGUAAAGAAGCACCGGCUAACUACGUG
Molecule: ribosomal RNA, 468 nt
Filed under: uncultured bacterium
Lineage: Bacteria
Description: partial 16S ribosomal RNA
Rfam family: Bacterial small subunit ribosomal RNA
Source: RNAcentral